GACGAACGCUGGCGGCGUGCUUAACACAUGCAAGUCGAACGGAAAGGCCCUGCUUUUGUGGGGUGCUCGAGUGGCGAACGGGUGAGUAACACGUGAGUAACCUGCCCUUGACUUUGGGAUAACUUCAGGAAACUGGGGCUAAUACCGGAUAGGAGCUCCUGCUGCAUGGUGGGGGUUGGAAAGUUUCGGCGGUUGGGGAUGGUCUCGCGGCUUAUCAGCUUGUUAGUGAGGUAGUGGCUUACCAAGGGUUUGACGGGUAGCCGGCCUGAGAGGGUGAACGGCCACAUGGGGACUGAGAGACGCACCAGACUCCUACGGGAGGCAGCAGGCGGGAAUAUUGCACAAUGGGCGGAAGCCUGAUGCAGCAACGCCGGGUGCGGGAUGACGGCCUACGGGUUGUAAACCGAUUUCGCCGGUGCCGAAGCGUGAGUGACGGUAAUGGGUAAAGAAGCACCGGCUAACUACGUG
This 468-nucleotide ribosomal RNA is filed under the name uncultured bacterium. RNAcentral's name for it is "partial 16S ribosomal RNA". It matches the Rfam family "Bacterial small subunit ribosomal RNA", at positions 28 to 507 of the family's 1533-position model. The record is from RNAcentral.